This 440-nucleotide ribosomal RNA is filed under the name uncultured bacterium. RNAcentral describes it as "partial 16S ribosomal RNA". It matches the Rfam family "Bacterial small subunit ribosomal RNA", at positions 338 to 795 of the family's 1533-position model. The record is from RNAcentral.
CCUACGGGGGGCAGCAGUGGGGGAUAUUGCACAAUGGGGGGAACCCUGAUGCAGCGACGCCGCGUGGGUGAAGAAGCGCCUCGGCGCGUAAAGCCCUGUCAGCAGGGAAGAAAAUGACGGUACCUGAAGAAGAAGCCCCGGCUAACUACGUGCCAACAGCCGCGGUAAUACGUAGGGGGCAAGCGUUAUCCGGAUUUACUGGGUGGAAAGGGGGCGCAGACGGCGAUGCAAGCCAGGAGUGAAAGCCCGGGGCCCAACCCCGGGACUGCUCGUGGAACUGCGUGGCUGGAGUGCAGGAGGGGCAGGCGGAAUUCCUGGUGUAGCGGUGAAAUGCGUAGAUAUCAGGAGGAACACCGGUGGCGAAGGCGGCCUGCUGGACUGCAACUGACGUUGAGGCCCGAAAGCGUGGGGAGCAAACAGGAUUAGAUACCCCAGUAGUC